AUUGAACGCUGGCGGCAUGCCUUACAUAUGCAAGUCGAACGGCAGCACGGGUGCUUGCACCUGGUGGCGAGUGGCGAACGGGUGAGUAAUACAUCGGAACAUGUCCUGUAGUGGGGGAUAGCCCGGCGAAAGCCGGAUUAAUACCGCAUACGAUCUACGGAUGAAAGCGGGGGACCUUCGGGCCUCGCGCUAUAGGGUUGGCCGAUGGCUGAUUAGCUAGUUGGUGGGGUAAAGGCCUACCAAGGCGACGAUCAGUAGCUGGUCUGAGAGGACGACCAGCCACACUGGGACUGAGACACGGCCCAGACUCCUACGGGAGGCAGCAGUGGGGAAUUUUGGACAAUGGGCGAAAGCCUGAUCCAGCAAUGCCGCGUGUGUGAAGAAGGCCUUCGGGUUGUAAAGCACCUUUGUCCGGAAAGAAAUCCUUGGCCCUAAUACGGUCGGGGGAUGACGGUACCGGAAGAAUAAGCACCGGCUAACUACGU
This 485-nucleotide ribosomal RNA is filed under the name uncultured bacterium. RNAcentral describes it as "partial 16S ribosomal RNA". It matches the Rfam family "Bacterial small subunit ribosomal RNA", at positions 30 to 506 of the family's 1533-position model. The record is from RNAcentral.